CCUACGGGAGGCUGCAGUGAGGAAUAUUGGUCAAUGGCCGGGAGGCUGAACCAGCCAAGUCGCGUGAGGGAAGACGGCCCUACGGGUUGUAAACCUCUUUUGUCAGGGAGCAAGGUGCAGGUCGGGACCUGCUGUGAGAGUACCUGAAGAAAAAGCAUUCGCCAACUCCGUGCCAGCAGCCGCGGUAAUACGGAGGGGGUGAGCGUUAACCGGAUUUACUUGGUGGAAAGGGAGCGUAGACGGUUCUGCAAGUCCGAAGUGAAAGCCCGUGGCUUAACCGCGGAACGGCUUUUGAAACUGGGGAACUGGAGUGCUGGAGAGGCAAGCGGAAUUCCUAGUGUAGCGGUGAAAUGCGUAGAUAUUAGGAAGAACACCAGUGGCGAAGGCAGCUUGCUGAACAGUAACUGACGUUGAGGCUCGAAAGCGUGGGGAGCAAACAGGAUUAGAUACCCGGGUAGUC
RNAcentral lists this ribosomal RNA (460 nucleotides) under uncultured bacterium. RNAcentral's name for it is "partial 16S ribosomal RNA". It matches the Rfam family "Bacterial small subunit ribosomal RNA", at positions 338 to 795 of the family's 1533-position model. The record is from RNAcentral.